GUACUCACUCUGACAACAUAUGUAUGAAAACUAAUAUGACACGGAGAAAAUUAGCAUAGCUCCUGUACAAAGAUGACAUGCAAAUUUGUGAAGCAUUUCUCAAUUUU
Molecule: small nuclear RNA, 107 nt
Organism: Sorex araneus (European shrew)
Lineage: Eukaryota; Metazoa; Chordata; Mammalia; Eulipotyphla; Soricidae
Source: Ensembl